AAACCAUUUCUUACAGUAAUACACAGCAGAGUCGUCCAGCUCCACGCUGCUUAUUACUAACUGAUAAUCUGUGUUAGACUGGGCCCUGGAGGAGAAGCGACUGGAGGAGAAUCCACUUCCAUACGUGGGAGAGCUGUGAGUACGAUAGUAAUACAGGACGAACUGGGGAGCUCCUCCUGGGACCUGCUUGUACCAGUAAAUAUUCUUAGUAUCAUCUAUAGGUUUCUGACAGUGCAAGGUGGCCGUUUCUCCUUUACUCAGAGUCAGUAUGGAGGGUUUUUGAGUGACCAUCCUUUGGCCGCUGACACC
This is a long non-coding RNA of Brienomyrus brachyistius, 309 nucleotides long. RefSeq lists it as uncharacterized. The transcript has 3 exons. NCBI's taxonomy places the organism in Eukaryota, Metazoa, Chordata, Actinopteri, Osteoglossiformes, Mormyridae. The record is from RefSeq and is a predicted model, not a curated record.